CUUGGUCAUUUAGAGGAAGUAAAAGUCGUAACAAGGUCUCCGUUGGUGAACCAGCGGAGGGAUCAUUACUGAGUUUACAAACUCCCAAACCCCUGUGAACAUACCUAUGUUGCUUCGGUGGGCCGUCCCGCGGCGCGCCCACGUGGCGUGACCCGGACCCAGGCGCCCGCCGGGGACCCCAAACUCUUGUGUUUUUUUCAGCAUUCUCUGAGUGGCAAACGCAAAAAUAAAUCAAAACUUUUAACAACGGAUCUCUUGGCUCUGGCAUCGAUGAAGAACGCAGC
This 284-nucleotide ribosomal RNA is filed under the name uncultured fungus. Its description in RNAcentral is "partial 5.8S ribosomal RNA". The stretch from base 1 to 68 matches the Rfam family "Eukaryotic small subunit ribosomal RNA", at positions 1764 to 1831 of the family's 1831-position model. Lineage: Eukaryota; Fungi. The record is from RNAcentral.